RNAcentral lists this ribosomal RNA (468 nucleotides) under uncultured bacterium. Its description in RNAcentral is "partial 16S ribosomal RNA". It matches the Rfam family "Bacterial small subunit ribosomal RNA", at positions 28 to 507 of the family's 1533-position model. The record is from RNAcentral.
GACGAACGCUGGCGGCGUGCUUAACACAUGCAAGUCGAACGGAAAGGCCCUGCUUUUGUGGGGUUCUCGAGUGGCGAACUGGUGUGUAACACGUGAGUAACCUGCCCUUGACUUUGGUAUAACUUCAGGAAACUUGUGCUAAUACCGGAUAGGAGCUCCUGCUGCAUGGUGUGGGUUGGAAAUUUUCGGCGGUUGGGGAUGGACUCGCUGCUUAUCAGCUUUUUGGUGGGGUAUUGGCUUACCAAGGCUUUGACGGGUAGCCGGCCUGAGAGGGUGACCGGGGACAAUGGGACUGAGAGACGGAACAGAGUCCUACGGGAGGCAGAAGUGGGGAAUAUUGAAAAAUGGGAGGAAGCCUGAUGCAGAAACGCCGCGGGCGGGAUGACGGCCUUCGGGUUGUAAAACGCUUUCGCAUGUGACGAAGAGGGAGUGACGGUAAUGGGUAAAGAAGCACCGGCUAACUACGUG